GGAAUAUUGGUCAAUGGACGAGAGUCUGAACCAGCCAAGUAGCGUGCAGGACGACUGCCCUAUGGGUUGUAAACUGCUUUUAUGCGGGAAUAAAGUUCACUACGUGUAGUGUUUUGUAUGUACCGCAUGAAUAAGGACCGGCUAAUUCCGUGCCAGCAGCCGCGGUAAUACGGAAGGUCCGGGCGUUAUCCGGAUUUAUUGGGUUUAAAGGGAGCGCAGGCCGAAGGUUAAGCGUGACGUGAAAUGUACCGGCUCAACCGGUGACUUGCGUCGCGAACUGGCUUUCUUGAGUGAGUACGACGUCAGCGGAAUUCGUGGUGUAGCGGUGAAAUGCUUAGAUAUCACGAAGAACCCCGAUUGCGAAGGCAGCUGACGAGUCCUUAACUGACGCUAAUGCUCGAAAGUGCGGGUAUCGAACA
This 419-nucleotide ribosomal RNA is filed under the name uncultured Prevotella sp. RNAcentral's name for it is "bacterial SSU rRNA". It matches the Rfam family "Bacterial small subunit ribosomal RNA", at positions 358 to 774 of the family's 1533-position model. Lineage: Bacteria; Pseudomonadati; Bacteroidota; Bacteroidia; Bacteroidales; Prevotellaceae. The record is from RNAcentral.